RNAcentral lists this ribosomal RNA (757 nucleotides) under uncultured bacterium. Its description in RNAcentral is "bacterial SSU rRNA". It matches the Rfam family "Bacterial small subunit ribosomal RNA", at positions 745 to 1502 of the family's 1533-position model. The record is from RNAcentral.
GCUCAGGUGCGAAAGCGUGGGGAGCAAACAGGAUUAGAUACCNUGGUAGUCCACGCCGUAAACGAUGUCGAUUUGGAGGUUGUGCCCUUGAGGCGUGGCUUCCGGAGCUAACGCGUUAAAUCGACCGCCUGGGGAGUACGGCCGCAAGGUUAAAACUCAAAUGAAUUGACGGGGGCCCGCACAAGCGGUGGAGCAUGUGGUUUAAUUCGAUGCAACGCGAAGAACCUUACCUGGUCUUGACAUCCACAGAACUUAGCAGAGAUGCUUUGGUGCCUUCGGGAACUGUGAGACAGGUGCUGCAUGGCUGUCGUCAGCUCGUGUUGUGAAAUGUUGGGUUAAGUCCCGCAACGAGCGCAACCCUUAUCCUUUGUUGCCAGCGGUUAGGCCGGGAACUCAAAGGAGACUGCCAGUGAUAAACUGGAGGAAGGUGGGGAUGACGUCAAGUCAUCAUGGCCCUUACGACCAGGGCUACACACGUGCUACAAUGGCAUAUACAAAGAGAAGCGACCUCGCGAGAGCAAGCGGACCUCAUAAAGUAUGUCGUAGUCCGGAUUGGAGUCUGCAACUCGACUCCAUGAAGUCGGAAUCGCUAGUAAUCGUAGAUCAGAAUGCUACGGUGAAUACGUUCCCGGGCCUUGUACACACCGCCCGUCACACCAUGGGAGUGGGUUGCAAAAGAAGUAGGUAGCUUAACCUUCGGGAGGGCGCUUACCACUUUGUGAUUCAUGACUGGGGUGAAGUCGUAACAAGGUAACCG